GUGGAUUAGAUACCCCAGUAGUCCACGCCGUAAACGAUGGAUACUAGCUGUUGGGCGCAAGUUCAGUGGCUAAGCGAAAGUGAUAAGUAUCCCACCUGGGGAGUACGAACGCAAGUUUGAAACUCAAAGGAAUUGACGGGGGCCCGCACAAGCGGUGGAGCAUGUGGUUUAAUUCGAUGAUACGCGAGGAACCUUACCAAGGCUUAAAUGCAGACUGACCGAUUUGGAAACAGAUCUUUCGCAAGACAGUUUACAAGGUGCUGCACGGUCGUCGACAACU
This 280-nucleotide ribosomal RNA is filed under the name uncultured bacterium. RNAcentral describes it as "partial 16S ribosomal RNA". It matches the Rfam family "Bacterial small subunit ribosomal RNA", at positions 773 to 1060 of the family's 1533-position model. The record is from RNAcentral.